This 1856-nucleotide long non-coding RNA is filed under the name Pongo abelii (Sumatran orangutan). RNAcentral's name for it is "lincRNA". Lineage: Eukaryota; Metazoa; Chordata; Mammalia; Primates; Hominidae. The record is from RNAcentral.
ACGGCCCUCCACAGCAGCUGAACUCCUUGUAGUUGUCACCAUGGACUCGGGCUGCGGGGAGCCCCGGACGCCCACCCCAGGUUCCUGCCUCGCCCUCAGGCUGACGCAGCGUGCCCAGCAGAGGAGCAGCAGGACGGGAUCUCCUUGCUGGCGUGCCUGCAUCCAGCUGUUUAUUGCACGUUAAUCCUGAAUUUGGGGGGCGAUCUCUUUGAAAGAUGCUCUUCCAAGGUGGCCCCCUUGUGUGGCGGCCCAGGGAUGAUGACUCAUGGCUUUGGUUUGGGCAGAUCUGAAAGACCUAUCGGUUAUUUUGUCUACACAGAGGGAAGGUUACAAUAAGCUGAUGUCAUUGUGACGGGCAUUGGUCUGUUCCCGUCUGAAAGAAUUCAUUUUCAGCAGUGGGGGGUAUGUGUUAGAUCUUUGUUUAUCUUGCAGCUGAAUUCUCAGCCAGGUCCAUGGAGUUUUGAGUCACCAAUUUGUGUGCAAUAAUCCAGAGGAUUAAAGAAUUCUUUUUUUCUUCUUGAUACAAAAAAGUAUUUUUUUAAAAUUCACAGAGGAGAAACAUAAUUUAAUUUUUGAAUAUUUUCUUUAAUAUUUUCAAAUAUAUGUGAAAGAGAGAGGGCUUGGCUGGCUUCAACAAUUGAAACAAAUGCAGCAUCUCUCAUUAAAAGUAUUACAUAAAAUGUAAGCACAAUACUAGAAAUGCUAAUGUAAUUUAUUCUAAUUGAAGAAUUAUUCUGAUUCACUAUAACUGUGAAUAACUAUAUAUAAAUUAAUGAUUUUUUAAAAGUGUGGAAAAAAGAUAUAUAAAUAGGAAACACUAGAAAUGAUAAUAUGAUAUUUAAUGACUAUUUGAUGUGUUGGAACAUUUUGAUUCUGGAUAAAUAUGAGUUUAAUGUAUCAGUAAUAUAUAAAUAUAGCAUCAUCAAAUAUAGCAAAACUAAUAUAAUUCAAAUAUAAUAUAUAAUAUAUACAAUUAUAUAUUUUAUAUAUAAUAUAUAAUUAUUAUAUGAAAUGAUUAUAUAUCAUUAUAUGGUGUAUAAUAUAAUAAUUAUAUAAUAAUAUAUAAUUAUAAUAUAAUUCGAAUAUAGGUCAAAUUAAAUAUAGUCAAACUAAUACUUUGAUACAAACUAAGUAAAAAUAAAAACAAAUCUCAGAGGCUUAAAAUACAAAAGAAUAUUUCUCUGCCACGUUUGAUGAGCAGAAUCAAUUACUACCUUAAUAGCAUUAUAUUUAUUAAUAAUAGCCUAAAUAAUUUUCUUUCAUUUUAGAAUUACUAUUGCAUUUCAACUUUCUUAUUCAGAAACAAUAAAUUAGCAUGGCAGAGAUGGCUAAUUGCCUUCUGGUUUGGGGGCAUUGGUCUGGACAUUCUCCAUUUUCUUAAUAACAAGAUCCCAAUUUUAUUAACAUGUAUUUACUAAGGCUAAGCACGACUAUGUGCUCAGCUACAUUGCCUGCCUCUCUUGCAGUUCCCAGUGGCCACAUGAUACAGUUCUGGUCAAGUGAGACUUCUGGGAAAGCCUUUACAAGUGAACAGAUUUGUCUGGAUUGUCCCUUUUGCUUUUUGCGAUAGUCUCUUUGAGCCAGGAAUGUGGAUGUGAUGGCAGUAGCCAUCUUGCACACAUGACACAAAAGCUCACACUUUGUGGACUAUGGAUGGCUACAAAAUCCCUAGAAAGGAGAUUUAGAAUGAAUUAGAGUCCCUAAUAACAUCUAUUGCUAAUUUUCUUGUUAAUGAGACAUGAACAUAUGUAUUCUAUGAACCAGUGUUAUGGAAUUUUCUGUUAAAUACAGCCAAACACAAUUUCCACAUGAUUCAAUUAAGAUCAGGAAUAAACUGCUAAGAUGAUUAAAAAACA